UACGUAGGGUGCGAGCGUUAAUCGGAAUUACUGGGCGUAAAGCGUGCGCAGGCGGUUUUGUAAGCCCGAUGUGAAAUCCCCGGGCUUAACCUGGGAAUGGCAUUUGGGACUGCAAGGCUCGAGUGCGGCAGAGGAGACUGGAAUUCCUGGUGUAGCAGUGAAAUGCGUAGAUAUCAGGAGGAACACCGAUGGCGAAGGCGGCUACCUGGACAAUUGCUGACGCUCAGGCACGAAAGCGUGGGGAGCAAACAGG
This 253-nucleotide ribosomal RNA is filed under the name uncultured bacterium. Its description in RNAcentral is "partial 16S ribosomal RNA". It matches the Rfam family "Bacterial small subunit ribosomal RNA", at positions 524 to 776 of the family's 1533-position model. The record is from RNAcentral.